Long non-coding RNA from Hemibagrus wyckioides, 1625 nucleotides. RefSeq lists it as uncharacterized. NCBI's taxonomy places the organism in Eukaryota, Metazoa, Chordata, Actinopteri, Siluriformes, Bagridae. The record is from RefSeq and is a predicted model, not a curated record. The transcript is spliced from 6 exons.
UUGCCGUUUGAUCUCAUAUAAACAAAGACACCUGUGUCUUACGUCAUUGGAAAUGGAAAUUAACCUUAGUCAAAUAGUCACAAUACGUGUAUUGAAGACACUCUCUUACAUAUCCGUGGCAUAAAAUGGAAAUAAUAAGGAACAACAAAGUUUUUUAUUUUAUUUUAUUAUUUUUAAUCUCAUAAGUGUAAUUUGCAGUUAUUUAUAGUAAUUCCUAUAAUGCAGUUUGUUUGUGACUUUCCUUAUGUGGCCAAAAGUUCAACUUAUUUGAAUAAGCUAAGAACUUCAAAAUGGAAAUUAGUCACUUGUCACUUGUGACAUAAAUUGUGACCGUCCUUGUGUCUCCCAUUCCCAAAACACAGAGCUACAUUCUAGGGAAUUAAACCAGUUAAAGUACAUAAACCUGGAACCUAAGUUUUUGAAUAAUUAUCAUCAGAUUUCCAGGUUCAUUUUAAGCAACAUCAUGAAGCAGACACAUUUACUCCUUUGUCUAACUAGUUUAUUCCCAGUUGCUAUCUCAAUCCUUGAAGACAUCCUACACAAAUAUGACCUGAUCAUGACACCGAAGUCAUGGCCAGAUGCACAGAAUUACUGCAGGACAAUGUACACUGACCUGUCAACAGUCAUAAGUGAUAGUGAUUGGCUAAGAUUGAACAAAGAAGCAGCAAGCAAAGGUCUGGCAGCAUCAGCCUGGGUCGGAGUAUAUGAUGAUUAUACUAGCUGGUGCUGGUCCCUAAAUGACCUUCGACUGAAGGAUGUCCGUUAUACAAGUUGGAAUAGUGGACAGCCUAAUAACGCUUUGUCAAUAGAAGCAUGUGUUAUGUUAUCUACAUCUGGUAAAUGGUUUGAUACAUAUUGCAAAUUUCUUAGAGCCUUCAUAUGCUACAAUGAUAGUUUCAGCGGCGCUGACAAGUUCAUUGGCAUCAAAAGUCUAGUGACCUGGCCUGAAGCUCAGGCUUACUGCCGAACAUAUCACACAGACUUGGCCAGCUCUCUUAACAGCUCGGACCAAAUCAUCUUAACACAGAUAAGAAAUAUCCAGGGUGACUCCUGGGUUGGCCUAUACAGAGAUACUUGGAAGUGGUCGGAUGGCACCACCAAUUUAAAGUUUGCUUGGGCUACUGGACAACCAGAUAAUUCUGAGAGAAUUAUGGGGUCCUGUGGAUCAGUUAAUAACGGAUUUUUUCGGUGAUGAACCUUGCACCAACCUGCACUAUUUCUUCUGUCACACCAUUCCACCAAUGAGGACUUACAUAAAAUUGCAGUUGAAGUCUAAUGGAAAUGUGUUUGAUCCUGCUCUGCAGUCAUCUAUUUUAGAACUGAUUAAGCAAAAACUUGAACAAAGGGGAAUGCUGGAGGCCACCAAAGUGACCUGGAGGGUGCAGCCAGAUGGGAACAUCUUUCACAAGAAAAAAGCACCACCUGUAAUAUCUGAAUGCUUAACUGGUGUUUAACAGAACUGUUCAUUUAAAGCUUAAAUAAUUUCUAUAAAACCUAUAAUAAUCAAAACAUUUUUAGCAGUGUAAAUUUUUACACUACAAUAUACCUGUAAAAUGCAUACAACAACUAUAUGGAUGUGCUGCAAUCUUUCCAGAGGCUGUAGAGGUCUUAUUUAAACUGUACUA